RNAcentral lists this long non-coding RNA (1397 nucleotides) under Capra hircus (goat). RNAcentral's name for it is "lncRNA (ENSCHIG00010028117.1)". The record is from RNAcentral. Lineage: Eukaryota; Metazoa; Chordata; Mammalia; Artiodactyla; Bovidae.
AUGGUCACAAUAUACAUAAUAUAUAUACAUAUAUAUGUACAUAUGUAUUUUAAUUUUGAAAUGAAGCAGGACCCUAUGGUCCUCUCUCCCCAUGUCCUCUGCCUGCAUUUUGCUGUGGGAAACUUUAGUCAAAGAAUAAGUUUAAUCAGAGACAUGAAAACAUGCAGAAACAAAGAAAAACAAAGGAGCCCAAACAAAAAUAAUGUAGUCACUGAGCAAAGUCAAGGCCCUUUAGUGCCUUCUCAAGGGCCAUAGAUAAUAUUCUGCGCCAUAUCCUGUGAGCUGUCUAAUAGAUACUGAAACCCCCACCAGGUGGAAGGAGUUAACUACGUGAUGACCAGGCUGUACCCACGACAUAAGCUGCCCCAAUUCCAAGAACUGGCCUCAAAGAAAUGGAAACAAACUGCCCCUGGAAGUGACGAUGAGCUGUACCUAAAACAAUCAAGAUGACGCUGGUCAGACCACCAAUGACAGAUUUCAAGACAACCGUCAGAGCUGACUGUGCUGUCUCUGCACGUAGCCCCCUCCCUCGGCCUACAAAAGCUCUUGGCCCACGGUUGUCAGUGGCAGACAGUUGGCCUUUGGACAGACGUCUGCCCUCCCCACCAGCUGCCAGCAUCUGAAAUAAAGCAAACUUUCCUUCCCACCAACCUGGCUUGUUUAUUGGCUUUUGAAUGGUGAGCAGCCAGACCCCACUUUUUGGUAAUAAUUUCACAUACUUAAUUUCAUAUAGAUUAAAAUCCUGUAGGAAAAUAUGGUGGACAAAGACGAAAGACAAGCAAGAAACGAAAGAAAAUAUUUACAACACAUAAGACAAAGAAAUGAUUUCUUAAAUAUUUAAAGAAUUCCUAUAUAUUAAAUUUGAAAACCUGAUAAAACAUAAAGAACAAGAAGAGAUAUGUAGAACAGAUAAAUCCAUAGACAGGAGAUAGACUAGUGGUUGCCAGGGACUGCCUGGGGGAAAGGGGAGUGAGGAGCGGCGGCACUGGGUAUGGGACUUCCUUCCAGGAUGAUGAGAGCAUUUUGGAACUUGACAGAGGUGGGGGUUGCACAAUAUUGGAAAUACACCAAAUGCCACUGGACUGUUCACCUUAAAAUGGUUAAUUUUGUGCUAUAUGAAUUUCACACCAAAAAAUUAUGUUUUAAAAAGAAAACAAAAGAUGUUUCUCAGAAGAGAAAAAGCAGGUGGCUUCUUAAUUGAUCAAAAGCUACUUGACCUUACUUAUAAUGUUAAAUAUGCAAAUUAAAAAUUCUCUGUGGGGAGGGAACUGACAAUAGCUAUCAGUUUUCAAAUUCAUAUCUCUAACCCAGCAAUUCCUUUUCUAAACAUUUAAACUUGCAAGUGAAUGUAAAACACAGAUACUGGGAUAUUCACUGCACUACUGUUUAUAGUGAUG